Molecule: non-coding RNA, 387 nt
Organism: Pimephales promelas (fathead minnow)
Lineage: Eukaryota; Metazoa; Chordata; Actinopteri; Cypriniformes; Leuciscidae
Source: RefSeq, a predicted model, not a curated record
AUCUACAACAGAUCAUACAACUACAACUACAGUCACUCUUAUAACAACAACACAACUUACAUCUACAACAGAACUCAGCAUCCGAGAGCCCUCACAAACAUCUGCAACUGGCUUCGGCACAACCACUCUACAUGGAACAACGUCAGUGCAUAUGCUGAUUACCAACCAUCUGCAAACUCAGGGAACAGUUUCAAGACAAGGAGUGACUCCGGAUUCCAAGCCAAUAUCAAUGGACACAUCCGCAACAUUUCCAACCUCUCAGGAAAUAAAUGACUCAAUAUCUUCUCCUGAGUCUUUAGCUCACGAACACCGGGACUCAACUUUGGGUUUAUCCAUUCAACCAGAGCUAAACGAUCCCGAAUCGGAAGCAACUACAAUGACAGACAC